Long non-coding RNA from Populus trichocarpa (black cottonwood), 660 nucleotides. RefSeq lists it as uncharacterized. The transcript has 2 exons. The record is from RefSeq and is a predicted model, not a curated record. NCBI's taxonomy places the organism in Eukaryota, Viridiplantae, Streptophyta, Magnoliopsida, Malpighiales, Salicaceae.
AUUUAAAACAAGCUCAUGUGGUGAAGUGACAAAGAAAUCCAUCCAUCCAUCCAUCCACGUGUAAGAAACAGCCGACUAGCUAGAACAAAGAAACGGAAAUCGCUUUGUUGAUGGCUCAGUGCUCAAGAAUAUUUUUGAAGGGGCGGAGCUGAAUCUUGAGACUUCUGGCAAUUCUUGAAGAGAAAAGAAGUGAUGAUACUGGUGGCAAUAGUGGCGGAGCUGAUGGAGGAGUACAUGGCGUUUCUGACUAGGGUUUUGGAACAUGUGUUUAAUGAUGCACCUUUUCCAAGAAGGGUUCGUUUUCUCAUUCUACGUAAUCUUCCUUUUGCUUCCUCGUCUCAUCGUCCUCCUCUACGUAGAGCUAGCUCCUAGACUUCACUGAAAUUGUUUACAGGGAGUUCUCCUCUCCCACCACAACCACCCACCUCUUUGUUUAUGCUUUAUUCCUUCGUUUUUUUUUCUUUGCUGUUUUAUCUCCUUUUGUUAAUAGUUUGAGAGUUAAUUAACUUAGCUUUCGUUUGCUUCUUUUUGUUUUUUUUUUUUUUGAGUUUUUGUAUGAUAAUUAGUGGUUCUCUUUUGUAAUUUAAGUGUUCUUAUUUAUUUUUUUAAUCUUAAUACAUUCUAUUAUGUUUGGAUUAAUUAAUUAGAUUUUGUUUGAAA